GGUUAAGCGACUAAGCGUACACGGUGGAUGCCCUGGCAGUCAGAGGCGAUGAAGGGCGUGCUAAUCUGCGAUAAGCGCCGGUAAGGUGAUAUGAACCGUUAUAACCGGCGAUACCCGAAUGGGGAAACCCAGUGUGAUUCGUCACACUAUCAUUAACUGAAUCCAUAGGUUAAUGAGGCGAACCGGGGGAACUGAAACAUCUAAGUACCCCGAGGAAAAGAAAUCAACCGAGAUUCCCCCAGUAGCGGCGAGCGAACGGGGAGGAGCCCAGAGCCUGAAUCAGCAUGUGUGUUAGUGGAAGCGUCUGGAAAGGCGCGCGAUACAGGGUGACAGCCCCGUACACAAAAGCGCAUGUGCUGUGAGCUCGAUGAGUAGGGCGGGACACGUGGUAUCCUGUCUGAAUAUGGGGGGACCAUCCUCCAAGGCUAAAUACUCCUGACUGACCGAUAGUGAACCAGUACCGUGAGGGAAAGGCGAAAAGAACCCCGGCGAGGGGAGUGAAAAAGAACCUGAAACCGUGUACGUACAAGCAGUGGGAGCACCCUUCGGGGUGUGACUGCGUACCUUUUGUAUAAUGGGUCAGCGACUUAUAUUCUGUAGCAAGGUUAACCGUAUAGGGGAGCCGGAGGGAAACCGAGUCUUAAUUGGGCGUUAAGUUGCAGGGUAUAGACCCGAAACCCGGUGAUCUAGCCAUGGGCAGGUUGAAGGUUGGGUAACACUAACUGGAGGACCGAACCGACUAAUGUUGAAAAAUUAGCGGAUGACCUGUGGCUGGGGGUGAAAGGCCAAUCAAACCGGGAGAUAGCUGGUUCUCCCCGAAAGCUAUUUAGGUAGCGCCUCGUGAAUUCAUCUCCGGGGGUAGAGCACUGUUUCGGCUAGGGGGCCAUCCCGGCUUACCAACCCGAUGCAAACUGCGAAUACCGGAGAAUGUUAUCACGGGAGACACACGGCGGGUGCUAACGUCCGUCGUGAAGAGGGAAACAACCCAGACCGCCAGCUAAGGUCCCAAAGUCAUGGUUAAGUGGGAAACGAUGUGGGAAGGCCCAGACAGCCAGGAUGUUGGCUUAGAAGCAGCCAUCAUUUAAAGAAAGCGUAAUAGCUCACUGGUCGAGUCGGCCUGCGCGGAAGAUGUAACGGGGCUAAACCAUGCACCGAAGCUGCGGCAGCGAACGUAUCACCCAAGACAACUUUACGGAGUUGACGAUUGACGGAGCGAAGCGACGUCAAAGCGUUCAUUAAAGUCGAGUUGGCUUAGGGAUACGUUCGUUGGGUAGGGGAGCGUUCUGUAAGCCUGUGAAGGUGUGUCGUGAGGCAUGCUGGAGGUAUCAGAAGUGCGAAUGCUGACAUAAGUAACGAUAAAGCGGGUGAAAAGCCCGCUCGCCGGAAGACCAAGGGUUCCUGUCCAACGUUAAUCGGGGCAGGGUGAGUCGACCCCUAAGGCGAGGCCGAAAGGCGUAGUCGAUGGGAAACGGGUUAAUAUUCCCGUACUUGGUGUUACUGCGAAGGGGGGACGGAGAAGGCUAUGUUGGCCGGGCGACGGUUGUCCCGGUUUAAGCGUGUAGGUGUGUGUUCCAGGUAAAUCCGGUUCACUUUAACACUGAGGCGUGACGACGAGGCACUACGGUGCUGAAGCAACAAAUGCCCUGCUUCCAGGAAAAGCCUCUAAGCAUCAGGUAACAUCAAAUCGUACCCCAAACCGACACAGGUGGUCAGGUAGAGAAUACCAAGGCGCUUGAGAGAACUCGGGUGAAGGAACUAGGCAAAAUGGUGCCGUAACUUCGGGAGAAGGCACGCUGACACGUAGGUGAAGUGAUUUACUCAUGGAGCUGAAGUCAGUCGAAGAUACCAGCUGGCUGCAACUGUUUAUUAAAAACACAGCACUGUGCAAACACGAAAGUGGACGUAUACGGUGUGACGCCUGCCCGGUGCCGGAAGGUUAAUUGAUGGGGUCAGCGCAAGCGAAGCUCCUGAUCGAAGCCCCGGUAAACGGCGGCCGUAACUAUAACGGUCCUAAGGUAGCGAAAUUCCUUGUCGGGUAAGUUCCGACCUGCACGAAUGGCGUAAUGAUGGCCAGGCUGUCUCCACCCGAGACUCAGUGAAAUUGAACUCGCUGUGAAGAUGCAGUGUACCCGCGGCAAGACGGAAAGACCCCGUGAACCUUUACUAUAGCUUGACACUGAACAUUGAGCCUUGAUGUGUAGGAUAGGUGGGAGGCUUUGAAGUGUGGACGCCAGUCUGCAUGGAGCCGACCUUGAAAUACCACCCUUUAAUGUUUGAUGUUCUAACGUGGACCCGUAAUCCGGGUUGCGGACAGUGUCUGGUGGGUAGUUUGACUGGGGCGGUCUCCUCCUAAAGAGUAACGGAGGAGCACGAAGGUUGGCUAAUCCUGGUCGGACAUCAGGAGGUUAGUGCAAUGGCAUAAGCCAGCUUGACUGCGAGCGUGACGGCGCGAGCAGGUGCGAAAGCAGGUCAUAGUGAUCCGGUGGUUCUGAAUGGAAGGGCCAUCGCUCAACGGAUAAAAGGUACUCCGGGGAUAACAGGCUGAUACCGCCCAAGAGUUCAUAUCGACGGCGGUGUUUGGCACCUCGAUGUCGGCUCAUCACAUCCUGGGGCUGAAGUAGGUCCCAAGGGUAUGGCUGUUCGCCAUUUAAAGUGGUACGCGAGCUGGGUUUAGAACGUCGUGAGACAGUUCGGUCCCUAUCUGCCGUGGGCGCUGGAGAAUUGAGGGGGGCUGCUCCUAGUACGAGAGGACCGGAGUGGACGCAUCACUGGUGUUCGGGUUGUCAUGCCAAUGGCACUGCCCGGUAGCUAAAUGCGGAAGAGAUAAGUGCUGAAAGCAUCUAAGCACGAAACUUGCCCCGAGAUGAGUUCUCCCUGAGACUUAGAGUCUCCUGAAGGAACGUUGAAGACGACGACGUUGAUAGGCCGGGUGUGUAAGCGCAGCGAUGCGUUGAGCUAACCGGUACUAAUGAACCGUGAGGCUUAACCUU
This 2990-nucleotide ribosomal RNA is filed under the name Salmonella enterica subsp. enterica serovar Typhimurium. Its description in RNAcentral is "23S ribosomal RNA". It matches the Rfam family "Bacterial large subunit ribosomal RNA". Lineage: Bacteria; Pseudomonadati; Pseudomonadota; Gammaproteobacteria; Enterobacterales; Enterobacteriaceae. The record is from RNAcentral.